ACGUGAAAGCCUUCUGUUCAACGGAAGAAUUGCAUCUGAAACUACAAACCUUGAGUGUAGGAGGGGAGAGUGGAACUUCUGGUGGAGCGGUGAAAUGCGUAGAUAUCAGAAGGAACGCCGGCGGCAAAAGCGACUCUCUGGCCUAUAACUGACACUGAGUGUGCGAAAGCUAGGGGAGCAAACGGGAUUAGAUACCCCGGUAGUCCUAGCCGUAAACGAUGGGCACUAAGUAGAGGG
RNAcentral lists this ribosomal RNA (237 nucleotides) under uncultured Planctomycetota bacterium. RNAcentral's name for it is "uncultured planctomycete partial 16S ribosomal RNA". It matches the Rfam family "Bacterial small subunit ribosomal RNA", at positions 592 to 827 of the family's 1533-position model. Lineage: Bacteria; Pseudomonadati; Planctomycetota. The record is from RNAcentral.